UACGGGGGGGGCAAGCGUUGUUCGGAAUUACUGGGCGUAAAGGGCGCGUAGGCGGCCCGCUUAGUCGGACGUGAAAUCCCUCGGCUCAACCGAGGAACUGCGUCCGAUACUGGCGGGCUCGAAUCCGGGAGAGGGAUGUGGAAUUCCAGGUGUAGCGGUGAAAUGCGUAGAUAUCUGGAGGAACACCGGUGGCGAAGGCGACAUCCUGGACCGGUAUUGACGCUGAGGCGCGAAAGCCAGGGGAGCAAACGGG
This 253-nucleotide ribosomal RNA is filed under the name uncultured bacterium. RNAcentral's name for it is "partial 16S ribosomal RNA". It matches the Rfam family "Bacterial small subunit ribosomal RNA", at positions 524 to 776 of the family's 1533-position model. The record is from RNAcentral.